Molecule: ribosomal RNA, 497 nt
Filed under: uncultured bacterium
Lineage: Bacteria
Description: partial 16S ribosomal RNA
Rfam family: Bacterial small subunit ribosomal RNA
Source: RNAcentral
GAUGAACGCUGGCGGCGUGCCUAAUACAUGCAAGUCGAGCGAACGGACGAGAAGCUUGCUCCUCUGCUGUUAGCGGCGGACGGGUGAGUAACACGUGGAUAACCUACCUAUAAGACUGGGAUAACUUCGGGAAACCGGAGCUAAUACCGGAUAAUAUUUUGAACCGCAUGGUUCAAAAGUGAAAGACGGUCUUGCUGUCACUUAUAGAUGGAUCCGCGCUGCAUUAGCUAGUUGGUAAGGUAACGGCUUACCAAGGCAACGAUGCAUAGCCGACCUGAGAGGGUGAUCAGCCACACUGGAACUGAGACACGGUCCAGACUCCUACGGGAGGCAGCAGUAGGGAAUCUUCGGCAAUGGGCGAAAGCCUGACGGAGCAACACCGCGUGAGUGAUGAAGGUCUUCGGAUCGUAAAACUCUGUUAUUAGGGAAGAACAUAUGUGUAAGUAACUGUGGACGUCUUGACGGUACCUAAUCAGAAAGCCACGGCUAACUACGUG